RNAcentral lists this long non-coding RNA (2151 nucleotides) under Gallus gallus (chicken). Its description in RNAcentral is "lncRNA (ENSGALG00010002936.1)". The record is from RNAcentral. Lineage: Eukaryota; Metazoa; Chordata; Aves; Galliformes; Phasianidae.
CUUCCAGGGAGGUCAGUGAGGUUUGCAUCAAUUUCUGGCAUAGAGGUGCUAAGGAGCAACAGGAGGCACUUCACCCAUAGUACUGCAAGGCCCCAGGCACUAAGCACACAGUGGUGAGGAGAGUGAUCUGUGGGAAGGCAGUGGAGAACAGCAGCACUCUCAAGAAAUUGAUCUUCAUUUGCACUACAAAGGAAAGGAUGAAGCUCAGAGCCUGCACCAUCUUCAGGAAGAAACAUGUUCCCCUCUGGUAAAAAGAAGCUCUCCCCAUCCAAGUAGGUGAAAAAUUCACCUCCUUGAAAUGAAAAGUGAAUUCCAAUAUUUUCUCUCUUCCUUUAGCUGUCUUUUGUUUAUUGUAAGAUUCCCCACUGUAGUAGAGGAUGGGGACUCACUCAUAUGAUUUUUAGAUAUCAAAAUAUACCUAUGAUAUCCAGUUUUCAAAGGUUCUGUGCUAUAAUUAUGUAAAUCUUCUGCACAGACACACUUUGUCUCCUAAGUUAUUUAUAACCCCAGGAGCUACCAAUCAGUCAGUCUCACCUCAAAAGAGGUGGGAAAGAUCAUGGAGCAUCCUGGAAGCUAUGCCAAGACACAUGGAAGACGGAGGUGAUACAGGAGAACCAGCAUGACUACACCAAGGGCAAAUCUUGUUUGACCAACCUAGUGGCCUUUUACGAUGGUAUCACUGCAUCAAUGGACAAGGGAAGAGACACUGAUGUCAUCUAUCUGGACUUCAGUAAGGCCUAUGACAUGUUAUGUCACAAUCUCCUUCUCUCCAAGUUGGAAAUAUGGAUUUGAUGGGUGGACUGUUCGAUGGAUGAGGAACUGGCUGCAGGAUCAAGUCUUGAGAGUGGUGGUCAGUGGCUCAGUGUCUGGAUGGAGACCAGUGACGAGCGGUGUCCCUCAGGAGUUGGUCCUGAGACUGAUACUCUUAGAUCUUCAUUAGUGACAUUGACAGUGGGGUUGAGUGCAUGAUCAGCAAGUCUGUGGAUAACACGAAGCUGUGGGACGCAAUCAGCAUGCUCAAGAGAUGGAAUGUCAUACAGUUGGACCUAGACAGGCUUGAGUAGUGGGCCCAGGUGAACCUCAUGAGGUUCAUCAAAUCCAAGUUCAAGGUCUUGCACCUGGGUUGUGGCAACCCCCAUUACCAAUACAAACUGGAGGAUGAAAGGAUUGAAUACAGCGCUGCCGAUAAGGACCUGAGGGUACUGGUGGAUGGGAAACUGGACAUGAGCCAGCAAUGUCCCUUGCAGCUCAGAAAGAUAACCAUAUCCUGAUCAAAAGAAGCAUGGCCAGCAGGUCAAGCAAGGUGAUCCUGCCCCUCUAGUCUGUGCUGGUGAGACCUCACCUGGAGUAUUGUGUCCAGAUGUGGUGUUGUCAGUACAGGAGAAAUAUAGAGCUGUUGCAGCGUGUCCAGAGGAAGGCCACAAAAAUGGUCCAAGGGAUGGACCACCUCUCCUAUGAGUACAAGGUGAAAGAACUGGGGCUGUUCAGCCUGGAGAAGAGAAGGCUUCUCUUGAUAGAAACCUUUCAGAAUCCAAAGUGGAGUUACAGGAAAGAAGGGGACAGACUCUUUAGCAGAGUCUGUUGUGAUCAGACAAAGGGAGAUUGUUUCAAGCUUGAAGAGGGUAGAUUUAGGUUAGAUAUAAAGAAAGUCUUCUGCAGGAAGGGUGGUGCCCCAUCUCUGGGGACUUUCAAGGUCAGAUUGGGCAGAGCUCUGAGCAAACAGAUCUAACUGGGGGUGUCCCUGUAUGUUGCAGGGGAGUUGGACUAGAUGGACGUUAAGGUACCUUCCAGCUCUAAAGAUUCUAUGUUUCUAUCAUUCUAUGAUUCAAUUUGUAUCUGGUGCUGACUACAAAUGAGUUUAUGUGAACAAUAAGGUAAUAGCCAAAUGAACUUGCUCUGAUUGACUUUUGAUUGCACCAAAACCUUGGUUAAUCUCACUGGCUACUACUCCAUCACUAGCAUCAAUGAGGGAAAUGAGAGGACCAUAAUUAUCAGAGGGGACCAAAAACAGGAUCUAUCAAAGACAGCUGCCUCCUGUCCCUUUGGUAGCAUCUGCUUGAGCAGUGCUUUUUUUUUUUUUUUUUUUUUUUCCUGGUGUUUUCUAUGGUGUUUUCUCUUUUCACCUUUAUUCCUUAACAAUCUAUAUUAAAG